This 488-nucleotide ribosomal RNA is filed under the name uncultured bacterium. RNAcentral describes it as "bacterial SSU rRNA". It matches the Rfam family "Bacterial small subunit ribosomal RNA", at positions 30 to 507 of the family's 1533-position model. The record is from RNAcentral.
AUUGAACGCUGGCGGCAUGCCUAACACAUGCAAGUCGAACGGUAACGCGGAGAGCUUGCUCUCUGGCGACGAGUGGCGGACGGGUGAGUAAUACUUAGGAAUCUACCCAGUAGUGGGGGACAACAUUCGGAAACGGAUGCUAAUACCGCAUACGCACUACGGUGGAAAGUGGGGGACCUUCGGGCCUCACGCUAUUGGAUGAGCCUAAGUCGGAUUAGCUUGUUGGUGAGGUAAUAGCUCACCAAGGCGACGAUCCGUAGCUGGUCUGAGAGGACGAUCAGCCACACUGGGACUGAGACACGGCCCAGACUCCUACGGGAGGCAGCAGUGGGGAAUAUUGGACAAUGGGCGCAAGCCUGAUCCAGCAAUGCCGCGUGUGUGAAGAAGGCCUGCGGGUUGUAAAGCACUUUCAGUAGAGAAGAAAAGCCUAGGGUUAAUACCCCUGAGUCUUGACGUAACCUACAGAAGAAGCACCGGCUAACUCCGUG